GACGAACGCUGGCGGCGUGCUUAACACAUGCAAGUCGAACGCUGAAGCUUGGUGCUUGCCCUGGGUGGCUGAGUGGCGAACGGGUGGGUAAUACGUGAGUAACCUGCCCUUGACUCUGGGAUAAGCCUGGGAAACUGGGUCUAAUACUGGAUACGACAUGUCACCGCAUGGUGGUGUGUGGAAAGGGUUUUACUGGUUUUGGAUGGGCUCACGGCCUAUCAGCUUGUUGGUGGGGUAAUGGCUCACCAAGGCGACGACGGGUAGCCGGCCUGAGAGGGUGACCGGCCACACUGGGACUGAGACACGGCCCAGACUCCUACGGGAGGCAGCAGUGGGGAAUAUUGCACAAUGGGCGGAAGCCUGAUGCAGCGACGCCGCGUGAGGGAUGACGGCCUUCGGGUUGUAAACCUCUUUCAGCACGGAAGAAGCGAAAGUGACGGUACGUGCAGAAGAAGCGCCGGCUAACUACGUG
Molecule: ribosomal RNA, 472 nt
Filed under: uncultured bacterium
Lineage: Bacteria
Description: partial 16S ribosomal RNA
Rfam family: Bacterial small subunit ribosomal RNA
Source: RNAcentral